GCGGACCCACGGCACACCGAACGCACUCCAACAGAACCCGACGCAGACACGCGCUUUCAACCGGCGGAGACACUGGCAGCUGAUCCAUAUGAAUUCCUCUUAUUAAGAAAAAUAAAGCAUCCAGGAUUCAAUGAAGAACUGACUAUCACCUUGUUAAUCAUUCAGAAACAUGUUGCAGGCUUAAGCCAUUUUUGAUAUAGAUACUGAAACAAUUACUUGCUAAGAGCAAACUUGAAGGAAUUAGAGAAAGAACAAAUCAGUGUGAAGGAGAAUUGUCAGUAAAAUUACAAGAAAAGAUUGAGAUCAUAAUUGACCUUUGAGGAUAAUAAAAUUUAAAGACCAAAAGGAUGGACUUCACAGAAACAUGACCUUAGGUUGUUUUUGCAGUUGUAGUAACUGGUUAUAUGACCAACAAAAUAUGAAGAAUGGGUACAAAUUCUGAUAGUAAUGAUCAGUCACUUUGCAAAUAUAAAGCUACUAUUUACUACUGUAUUGUACAGGUUCAAUAAUCUUUGUGUACACAUUUUAUGUAUUUAUUGUCAGGCUGCUAUAUAAUUCAGUAUUUAUAAUAGAUACUAUGUAUAGCAAUCUAUGGUUAGUUUUGGUCUUAACCAGGAAAAAUCACUCUUUUGAGUUUUGCUGUUUUUACUAGAUUAUUUUUACUGGAUGAUUGCUCAUAUUAUUUGAUUAUUAUUGCAAUUUGUCUUUCUGGAAUAGGAAGCAAGAGGCCUGAAUUCUGGUUCCUAUUCUAUCAAUUGUGUGAAUUCUGGAAACUCAGUUUACUUUUCUGGGCCUCAUGGUUUUCAUCUGAAUGAUGACCAACUUGGAUAAAAUGGUCUUUAUAUAAUUUCGUAGGCAUUUCCCUUCCCAAGGGCUUGAGUCUUUUUCAACAAUUAUAGAGUUUUCCGGUCCCUCUUCCCAGUGCCUCAGCACCUUGCUAUUCAUGUUCAUCUGAUCAGUUGUUUGCAUGCUGACUUACAUUACCCUGAUGGGCAGUACCUGUGGCUGUUUCUGCUCCCUCACCCAGUCCAUAGGCUUCUGGUUGUAAAAAGUGUGCAUCUUGAGACUGUGGACAGUUAGCUCCAGAGGUGACAGUAUAAUCACUUCACGUAGAAGAGGAUAGAGAGAGACUCAUGCCAGUGGUGGUGAGCAAGUAUUAGAGAUAUGAUGUGUGCCUCUGUGAGUUUUGGGGUCUAAGAUAAAUUAUGGCACUAGGAAGAUGGUCCUUUGUGUCAGAAGAACUGGAGUUGUUGGUGCAAAAAAGUAUGAUGUCAGCAUAGCAGUUUUAUUUGUACCUCAGCAACUUCUAAAAUAAUCUCUAUUAAGUGUUUUCAGGAACUACUUUCUACUAUAGGAAAAUCAUUGAGGUGAGUAUCCAUCUGGACACAGAGAAAUAUAACACUGUUUUCUGCUCACCCUCCACUUCACAUAUAAAUACAACAUGUGUUAAAGGACUAAAUUUCUAGUGUCACAGUUUGUACUUUAUAGUUUGAAGUCAAUAAGAAAGCUCAUAUACCUUCCUAAAAGUCACUUGUUAAUGUUUGAUAUUAAUCUAAUUUUAUCAUAAAUUAAAAGUAUAAAACUACAAAUUUCUUAAAGAUAAAAUAUCCAAAUGGAUUCAGUCAAAUUAAGCAUGAUAAUAUCAAAUAUCAGAAUAGGUUACCAUGCAGGAGGUACUGAGUACUUAAAAGGAUGGGGAAUGCAAUGAACAUAAAAGCUGGUACCAAGGGGAGGAGGAGACAGCGAUGAAUUAAAACAUUAUCUUAACUAA
Molecule: long non-coding RNA, 1771 nt
Organism: Homo sapiens (human)
Lineage: Eukaryota; Metazoa; Chordata; Mammalia; Primates; Hominidae
Source: Ensembl